AGAGUUUGAUCCUGGCUCAGAACGAACGCUGGCGGCGUGGAUAAGACAUGCAAGUCGAACGAUCACUAUUGGGUAGCAAUAUUCGGUAGUGGGAGUGGCGCAAGGGUGCGUAACACGUGGGUAAUUUGCCGUAAAGUCUGGGAUAACUUGCUGAAAGGCGAGCUAAUACCGGAUGUGAUUGCUGGAGGGCAUCCUCUGGCACUUAAAGUCGGGGACCGUAAGGCCUGACACUUUUCGAUAAGCCCGCGGCCUAUCAGCUAGUUGGUGAGGUAACGGCUCACCAAGGCUAAGACGGGUAGCUGGUCUGAGAGGACGACCAGCCUCACUGGAACUGAGACACGGUCCAGACACCUACGGGUGGCAGCAGUCGAGAAUUUUUCUCAAUGGGGGAAACCCUGAAGGAGCGACGCCGCGUGGGGGRUGAAUGGCUUCGGCCCGUAAACCCCUGUCAUUUGCGAUCAAACCUUACGACCUAACACGUCGURAGCUGAUAGUAGCGRAAGAGGAAGGGACGGCUAACUCUGUGCCAGCAGCCGCGGUAAUACAGAGGUCCCAAGCGUUGUUCGGAUUCACUGGGCGUAAAGGGUGCGUAGGCGGUCGGGUAAGUCUGACGUGAAAUCUUCAAGCUCAACUUGGAAACUGCGUCGGAUACUAUUCGGCUMGAGGAAUGGAGGGGAGACUGGAAUACUUGGUGUAGCAGUGAAAUGCGUAGAUAUCAAGUGGAACACCAGUGGCGAAGGCGAGUCUCUGGACAUUUCCUGACGCUGAGGCACGAAAGCCAGGGGAGCAAACGGGAUUAGAUACCCUGGUAGUCC
RNAcentral lists this ribosomal RNA (815 nucleotides) under uncultured bacterium. Its description in RNAcentral is "bacterial SSU rRNA". It matches the Rfam family "Bacterial small subunit ribosomal RNA", at positions 8 to 796 of the family's 1533-position model. The record is from RNAcentral.